Molecule: long non-coding RNA, 845 nt
Organism: Daphnia magna
Lineage: Eukaryota; Metazoa; Arthropoda; Branchiopoda; Diplostraca; Daphniidae
Exons: 3
Source: RefSeq, a predicted model, not a curated record
GGUCCCACACGAUCUCUUGUGACUAGACAAGGAGUCCUUCAUCAGCAGAUUUGAUGUCAAUCCUAUCAUACGGAAUCAAUAGGAAAUCGUUCAGUGAAGCUUCGGGACGACAGUUAGGAACGAGGUGACAGGCCAAAUCCGGAAGAGGAUCAGCAGGGCUCUCCUUUUUAAACGGCUUUCCGUGAUUUCUGACCGGAAUUCGCGAAUGGAAUCCAAAUUUGAAUGCAAUUGCGUUUGUGAUGGUCGCCACAGGUGAUGACGCAGACUGGAUCUUAACCGGCUUGAACACAACGGGGUGACUGGGCACGCAAGUUUUCACAUGAAGAAAUUCCCGUUUCUUUCCAGGAAGAGGCUUUGGGGAUGGAAACAGGGGUGUUUUCACCCGAUGGAUGGACGGAUGGAUAUCAAAUGGAAUAGGAAAUCUUGAUAAAAAGAUGCACUGAAAGAACUUUGUUAAAUUACUCGUAAAAUCGCUCUUGUAAUCGUUCGGUAAAUCACAGAUAUAUCUGGAUAAUACUUACUAGAACAACAAGUGAUUACGAAAUGAUGUCAUUUUGCCGCUUCGGACCAAAAUGAGCGUGGUUGAUGAUGGCGUGGCGACAACAACAAAACAGAUCGUUCCAAAUUAGAAAGUAGUCUACCUCUCUACCAUGAAAGAGUCUAAAAGCAAUAAAUUUGGCAUCGCUGUUGGUGUGUCUUACAUUUACGGACAGAAGAAAACAUAAGGUCAUUCAAGGUGGUGAUCUCGACUUGCUGCGUUUUCAUGGUCGUGACGAUUCUUUGUGCUGGCGUUUUCUUUUCAUUGUGACAGUCAUGUGUCUUAUCAGUUGCUGCAUUAAUAGUGA